AGAAUCAACGCUGGCGGCGUGCCUAACACAUGCAAGUCGCACGAGAAAGGGGCUUCGGUCCUGAGUACAGUGGCGCACGGGUGAGUAACACGUGAAUAAUCUACCUCCGAGUGGGGAAUAACUGAGAGAAAUCUUAGCUAAUACCGCAUAACACUUACGAGUCAAAGCAGCAAUGCGCUUGGAGAGGAGUUCGCGGCAGGAUUAGUUAGUUGGCGGGGUAAUGGCCCACCAAGACGAUGAUCUGUA
RNAcentral lists this ribosomal RNA (246 nucleotides) under uncultured bacterium. RNAcentral describes it as "partial small subunit ribosomal RNA". It matches the Rfam family "Bacterial small subunit ribosomal RNA", at positions 26 to 285 of the family's 1533-position model. The record is from RNAcentral.